Molecule: transfer-messenger RNA, 408 nt
Filed under: Algoriphagus sp.
Lineage: Bacteria; Pseudomonadati; Bacteroidota; Cytophagia; Cytophagales; Cyclobacteriaceae
Rfam family: transfer-messenger RNA
About the family: Bacterial tmRNA, also known as 10Sa RNA or SsrA, is named for its dual tRNA and mRNA-like properties. Its role is to liberate the mRNA from a stalled ribosome.
Source: RNAcentral
GGGGCUGACCGGUAUUGACAGUAAGUGUAAAGAUUGGGCUCGCAUGCAGGCUGGAGUAUGUACGGCCUUAAAAGAUUCAUACGAACCAUAAAUGGCGAAGAUACUUACGCCAUGGCUGCAUAAUCUAACCCCUCGGGGAAUAGAUAACGCUUAAAGGGUUGAGCUCCAUACCGGAGUUCCCCGGCCACAUCCCUCCGCCCCCCGUCCUUUCGGGGUUGAUCAAGGGGUGUCGACUUGAUUGGACUGCGGCUUGUGAUGCUAUUAAGCAGGCUUAAGUUCUAAUAGCUAAGUCAGAGUGAGGUGUGUCACCCAGCAUAUUCUGAACGAAAAAACAACAGGUGACUAAGCAUGUAGACGGUACGGUGUUUCCUUAUCUGGACGCGAGUUCGAAUCUCGCCAGCUCCACAA